UAUUCCGCAGGGAGAGCCUCCU
RNAcentral lists this non-coding RNA (22 nucleotides) under Arabidopsis thaliana (thale cress). The record is from RNAcentral. Lineage: Eukaryota; Viridiplantae; Streptophyta; Magnoliopsida; Brassicales; Brassicaceae.